Apis florea (little honeybee) is the source of this 2932-nucleotide long non-coding RNA. NCBI's taxonomy places the organism in Eukaryota, Metazoa, Arthropoda, Insecta, Hymenoptera, Apidae. The record is from RefSeq and is a predicted model, not a curated record.
GUAAAAAAAUAAUUACUUCUACUAAUAACUACUUAAUUAUUACUAUUGAUCAAUUUUACUCCUUAAAUCCAUUUAUCUAGGAAUUUUUUUUUUUAACGUAUCACACUUUUUACAUUUGCAAGAAUUAAAAUCAAAUAAUAAAACAAUUUUUAACUUGAUUCCAACAGCGUCCAGUCACAUUUUUUUUUAUUCCUAAAAUAAAACAUUCAUCAGAGUGUUUAACGAUGGAAACAAAUAUUAUUAUAUCGUUCUGUUCGUAAGAAUAUACGAAUUUGCAUAAACAUAUACGACGAACAUCCGAUUGUUUAAGGGAAAAAAACAGGAUGCAGUAAUAAUAUUGUAUGCUAAAAACUAACGAUUAAAUGCUUUUGUGACCGAGUAUGUAUAAUAUAUAACUAACGCAAUACUAAUAUAUUAAUAAACUAAUAUAAAUAAAUAUAUAUAUAUAUAUAUAUAACUUCCACAAUGAGAAUCAGCCUGUCACCGACGCAGUGUCUUGUUUCACUUCUCGUUCAAAGCGGUACCAGCUUUCGAGAUUUCUAAAUUUUCACCGCGAUUUUAAAUCGAUUGUAAAAGAUCUCGAUCGAUUCUCGAACCGAUCGUUUCCAGUCGAGCGGAGCUGUUUUCAGUUUACGAAUGGAAAGCGGAGAGGGAAACGUGAUAAUAUGAUUAACGUUGGCACACGUUGAACAAUUCUGUUACGCGAGAUCGGAUUGGUUGAAAAAGUGUGAUUGCUCGAACAGCAGGAGUCGAGGAAACGCGAUACAAAUUGUUAUUCUCACUUUGAAAUCGCUUGCCAAUCAUGUUGCCAAUACGUUCGAGCAUUUAACGUAUUUAAUAUGUUCGGGGCAGUUCAAGUUUCCGAUAUGAAUUUUAAUGCAACGUUGAAAACACGCCUUUUAUGACGAGACAACAAAGAAGAAUCGCUUCUCACGGCAUUCGAUGGAAAGAAAGAAAGGAUCGUGCCCAUGUGAUCUACGGUCACACCCUUCUUUUUAUGGUAUUCACUUCGUAUAUCACCUGCAACUAUCGAUGAUUUAUCAUGAUUUAUAGUGAACUUUUUCAUCCGUGAAGCCUGAAGCAAAACACGAUCGUUGCUCGAUCGAGAUUUUACGCUUUUCGAUCGAUCGAAUACAUUUCAUCGUAAUUAGAUGAUUUCUUUUGUGGUGAAGAUUGCAGUAUAUAGUUUUAUUUCGUGAAUAAACGAGGGAAGAAAGCAUGAUACGUUUUGUAUAUUUUAAUUUGGAAAGUAUAGAAGAUAACAGGAUGAUGAGUAAGAAGAUUUGUAACAAGUUUUAUAAUUUAUACACGCGUACUUAUGCACUUGAUUGUUAAUGCUUUGCAAAGAAAAUUUUUUCCUUGACUUUUUAAUAGGCCACGCUUUUCGAUUCAUUUUUAUAUCAUCACUUUUAUAAUAUUCGUGAAAAUAAUAGUCGAUUAGGAGAUUAUUAAUAGAGUAGAUUAAACGUAAAAAGUGAGAAGUCUAGAAAGCGUGGAAUUAUUUUUCUUAUAUUGCACUGCUAUGCAGCCUCCAGAAAUUUUAUUUUACUAUACCAGAUCUCGUGUUUAUGAUUAAUAACUGUUAAGAAAUAAAAUUCAUCAAUUUUUUGUCAUUGCUCGAAUCGAGUUCCAAGUUUGAUUAUUCCUUUUAGAUCAUUAUACUAUAUAUCUCUUUUACAAUUUUAUUGCGUUUGAUCGACGUUUAAUUGCUAUUAAAAUGGGGACAAGUAUAAUGCUUGAGUCAUCUCGUAAACUAGAGAUUAGAAAUUGUAUCUAGAAGAAUCUGUGAUAAUGAGUUUCAAGAAUAGUUCAAAAUAGCACUGAUUGACAAUGAAAUAAAUAAAAUAGGAAACUGGUUUCUUGAGAAGAUAUCGUUGCAAUAAUUUAUACGAGUAAAUAAUAAUAAUAUUUAAAUCUUAAGUAAUCAAGGUUUGACUAUUCUUGGAAACGGUGUUUGAAUUAAUGGAGCGCGACGAGAUUCGAUUAUUCAAUAUCGCGCGUUCGAUCGAUCGUCGGAGAUUUCAAUGCUUGAUAUCGAUUAAUCGUUGUAAGGACGCGUCUGCGCACUUGUGUUCGCGCAUGCGCUCUCCUCGCUCAUAAAUUGCUGGGAGACGCUUCUCAAUAGAGUAAAUACUAUGCAGUGAAAAGACGACACGGAGAAUAUAUCGGUAGGAAGGAAAGGAUAAUUAAUUCUCCAUCGUGAAGAAAAGAGGCGAGUAAAACGCGGUGAACGAAACGCAUACAGAAACGGUGCUCACCGGUGCUAGGAACUGCGUUCAAGGAGAACAGCAAACGAAGGAUUACGUAAUUCGGGUUACGUUCCUUUGAUGUACAAAUGAUUUUAACGCGAAACAGGAAAUCACCUUUUUUGCUUUUUUCCACUAGCAAAUCGUUCCGUUUCAAGGAUUUAUGGAUGAUCGUUCAACUCGAACGUCCGACGAAAUUGGUUUGAAUUUUUAUUUCUUCAAAAGUUGAAGAUGGAAAAAAUAAGGUAUAUAUUAAAAGAUAUAAAAAGAAGCUUUUUUUAAAAUUUAGAAAGAAAACAAUUUAGAUAUUAUAGUAUAAUAAUGAUUAAUAACGAUUAAUCGUAUUUAGCAUUCGUAUGUAAAGAUUUAUUAUUAAAUUAAGAUCAGAUUAUUAUUCUAAUUUUACACGCUCUUUAAUCGCUUUAAAUGGCCGCGCGCCAUAAUUUCUCGAGGUUGAACAUUGAAAACGAGGUGAUUAUUAUUAACACACGUGAUAAAAAGUACACGUGUUACGGUGUUAAAAUGAGGACGUUCUCGGACCAAUCGGAGCGAGCAAAAACUCUUGCGUGUACGAGGCAAGGACGACGAUCAUCAUCGAUUUAAAUGAAACUUGUAGAAAAUUUCCAUUUAGGUUCCAUAAUGGGACCGGUCGAGCAACUUCGACUGACGUUCUUUUGGCCAUACUU